UCCGAAAGGUGACCGACCUUCGGGAGCCAUUCAGGUGUUGCAUGGCUGUCGUCAGCUCGUGUCGUGAGAUGUUCGGUUAAGUCCGCUAACGAGCGCAACCCUCGCUGUGUGUUAUAUGUGUCACACAGGACUGCUGGUAUUAAGCCGGAGGAAGUGGGGACGACGUCAAGUCAGCAUGACCUUUAUAUCCAGGGCUACACACACGCUACAAUGGUCAGUACAAUGGGUUGCCAAGCCGCGAGGCGGAGCCAAUCCUAAAAAGCUGGCCCCAGUUCAGAUUGCAGUCUGAAACUCGACUGCAUGAAGUCGGAGUUGCUAGUAAACGCAGGUCAGCUAUACUGCGUUGAAUACGUUCCCGGGGCUU
Molecule: ribosomal RNA, 364 nt
Filed under: uncultured Anaerolineaceae bacterium
Lineage: Bacteria; Bacillati; Chloroflexota; Anaerolineae; Anaerolineales; Anaerolineaceae
Description: bacterial SSU rRNA
Rfam family: Bacterial small subunit ribosomal RNA
Source: RNAcentral